Long non-coding RNA from Brassica oleracea var. oleracea, 1444 nucleotides. RefSeq lists it as uncharacterized. The record is from RefSeq and is a predicted model, not a curated record. The transcript has 6 exons. Lineage: Eukaryota; Viridiplantae; Streptophyta; Magnoliopsida; Brassicales; Brassicaceae.
CAUUCCUCUACGUCCUCAAAGGAGACUGGGGCAUCCCAGAUCAUUCGCAUUUUUUUUGCUAUAGUUCCGGUUAUCGACACGCUUAUUUGAACUAGGCUUUUAUUACAAUUACAGAUUAAGCCCACAUGGAAUUAGGGUUCGUCUUCCGUCAUCCUCUUGCUCCUGCGACCUACACGAUGAAAUCCCACAGAGAUGAAAAGCGCCGUUUUGAUCUGCGUAACGUCUCAACAAUCCAUCCAUAAAUAUGUUCUUUACUUUGAGUUUUUUGUGAUUGAUCUACUCCUCCCACUUCACAAACAGCGUCAAGCUCUCAAAUCGCAAAAACUAACGAGCUCUUCUCAACUCCUCUGGUGAAGUAACGCACAGUUUUAAUGUUUUUCAGUAACCAAAACCCAUGAACCCCACUAUCGCCUCUUCAUUGCCUAUUUAAUUUUUUUUUUAUAACCUCUGGCGAACACAUAUAUUUACUCUCAGAGUGUGAUCUCUAAUUUCCUUACUGUAUGCCGAUUGAUUAUAGCUUAAACUCCUAGACAAGCUCUCCCAUAAUGGUAACUUGUCGGCUUCAUUUGUCCGAGUUGAAUGCAGAACGCUGUAGGGAGGUCGUUGAGGAACCUUCGAAUUUGGGAGUCUCUGAAUGUCAAAGUAGGGUCGGCUGAUGGGUGUUGAUAUGUUGCUGCUUGAUUCCAAGGAGCUCUGAUGUAUGCCUAAGUAUUUGACGGCUUAGCUAAGCUCCUUGAAGAGAAUUUGCUGAGUAGGAACGAAGAACCCGAGGUUUUGGUUGCAACUAACAUCAACCUUAAAUUAGUAGGCAGACGGCUAUUCCUGAAUAAGACAUCCACCACUCAUUUCUAUUUAGAUAAUGAGUGUGUUGCUGGUGCAAGUUAUCUUCAGAGGGUGUGUUGCAGUAAGGAAGGCUCAACCUCUAACCCGAAAGUAUGUGCUGUCAAGAAAAUUGAACCAUUGACUUUGGCCAAAUUGCAGCGUGGGUUCACAUCAUUUACAUGUGUUUCAUGCAAUGAGGAGAACAUUACUGGAGUUAUAAGAUGAGCGUCUCAGAUGCUACGGAAACUUUGAAUUUUGUUGCUUUGACACUGAAAUCACUAAACUGACCAAUAUACGCGAUGCCGAUGUCCCAACGAGCAGGGAGGUGGUGGACAAAACCCCAGGAUUGGGACCUUCUACUAAGUCUACAUGGAUGGUUGCUCAGAAAAGAAGCCACAGACUGACUAACUUAGAAAGAAGUGAAGCUUUUAAGAAAAAAAAAUAAAAAUAAAAAAAAGAAAGAAGAAAUGACCUGUACGUUGCUUUUCUUUGAAAAAAAUAUUUCCAGACACUGAAGUCUGAGUACUUCAAAACUUUGACAUAUUUUGAUUUUAUGCUUUACUUUUUUCGUAAAUGCACCGUCUCAGAUGUUUUGCAGUUGAAAAAUAAAAAGAAAAGUUGA